RNAcentral lists this ribosomal RNA (499 nucleotides) under uncultured bacterium. Its description in RNAcentral is "partial 16S ribosomal RNA". It matches the Rfam family "Bacterial small subunit ribosomal RNA", at positions 28 to 523 of the family's 1533-position model. The record is from RNAcentral.
GAUGAACGCUAGCGGCAGGCUUAAUACAUGCAAGUCGAGGGGCAGCACGGGUAGCAAUACUUGGUGGCGACCGGCGCACGGGUGCGUAACACGUAUACAAUCUACCUUAAACAGGGGGAUAGCCUUUCGAAAGAGAGAUUAAUACCCCGUAACAAAUUGAGUGGCAUCACUUGAUUUUGAAAGUUCCGACGGUUUAAGAUGAGUAUGCGUCUGAUUAGCUAGUUGGUGGUGUAAUGGACCACCAAGGCGACGAUCAGUAGGGGAUCUGAGAGGACUACCCCCCACACUGGUACUGAGACACGGACCAGACUCCUACGGGAGGCAGCAGUAAGGAAUAUUGGUCAAUGGAGGCAACUCUGAACCAGCCAUGCCGCGUGCAGGAAGACGGCCCUAUGGGUUGUAAACUGCUUUUGUACCAGAGAAAACCUACUCACGUGUGAGUAGCUGAUAGUAUGGUAAGAAUAAGCAUCGGCUAACUUCGUGCCAGCCGCCGCAGUAA